GCAGUGUUGGUUCAGUGGUAGAAUUCUUGCCUUCCAUGCAGGAGAUCCAUGUUCCAGUCCUGGCCAAUGCA
This 71-nucleotide transfer RNA is filed under the name Loxodonta africana (African savanna elephant). It matches the Rfam family "tRNA". From Rfam's summary of the family: Transfer RNA (tRNA) molecules are approximately 80 nucleotides in length. Their secondary structure includes four short double-helical elements and three loops (D, anti-codon, and T loops). Lineage: Eukaryota; Metazoa; Chordata; Mammalia; Proboscidea; Elephantidae. The record is from Rfam by way of RNAcentral.